GAUGAACGCUAGCGAUAGGCUUAACACAUGCAAGUCGAGGGGCAGCAUGGUCUUAGCUUGCUAAGACUGAUGGCGACCGGCGCACGGGUGCGUAACGCGUAUGCAACUUGCCUCACAGAGGGGGAUAACCCGUCGAAAGACGGACUAAUACCGCGUACACUUGGGAUAGGGCAUCCUGACCCAAGGAAAUGAAAUUCGCUGUGAGAUAGGCAUGCGUCCCAUUAGCUAGUUGGUGAGGUAACGGCUCACCAAGGCGACGAUGGGUAGGGGAACUGAGAGGUUGAACCCCCACACUGGUACUGAGACACGGACCAGACUCCUACGGAAGGCAGCAGUGAGGAAUAUUGGUCAAUGGGCGAGAGCCUGAACCAGCCAAGUCGCGUGAAGGAUGACUGUCUUAUGGAUUGUAAACUUCUUUUAUACGGGAAUAACAAGAGCCACGUGUGGCUCCCUGCAUGUACCGUAUGAAUAAGCAUCGGCUAACUCCGUG
RNAcentral lists this ribosomal RNA (490 nucleotides) under uncultured bacterium. RNAcentral's name for it is "partial 16S ribosomal RNA". It matches the Rfam family "Bacterial small subunit ribosomal RNA", at positions 28 to 507 of the family's 1533-position model. The record is from RNAcentral.